Long non-coding RNA from Chiroxiphia lanceolata (lance-tailed manakin), 501 nucleotides. RefSeq lists it as uncharacterized. The record is from RefSeq and is a predicted model, not a curated record. The transcript has 3 exons. NCBI's taxonomy places the organism in Eukaryota, Metazoa, Chordata, Aves, Passeriformes, Pipridae.
CUGGAAAGGGAGAGAGAGCUGAGGAAAAGAGAGUCAGCAGCAGAGUUACAGAGUUCUGAGGGUAAGAACUGAUUCCAGACUCCCCAAACUCCCUUAAGACCCCUCUUGGAGAAGAGGGACAUGGACUCCUAUUGUGGAGAGCAGUUUUGGACAUGCAGCACCAGACAGAGAGGAGCUGAGAAGCUCAGAGCGUCCUGGGAAGCUGGACUGGGACGGAGAGGAAUGCAGAGGGGGGCGACCUUGGUUCUUCCCCCCCUUGCACUGCUGCCAAGGUGGCAGCCAUCUUGAAGCAGGGCACAGAGGCCCUGCAAGGAGCUUGAAUCUCCUGGAGAUACCAGACCGUCACGAAGACCCCCUGUGUCUCGUGAUAUGACUGUGGUGGAACGACCUUGUCUGGGGUGACGUAGCCCACGGAGGAAGACCCCUCGCUUGGUGGCGACGGGGCCGAGGGAGCUUGGAUACCUCCCUCGUGAGUGCUGGCAGAAUCCAGCUAUCAGCUGC